AUGCCAUACUUGGCGGAGAACGUGGUGGUGGUGAGCAUGGCGACACUGACCCGGACGCUGAUGCACGCAUCAGCGUGCAAGCUCGCCUAUCAACUGGACGUCGUCCCAGCCAUCAACAAGACUGGUGCCAACAGCACGCCCUCCCGGGGCUCCCACACGGGAGCAAGAGGAGAGGGUGGCACAGGUGAGGUUCCCAUGUAUGUCGUUGACUGGUAA
RNAcentral lists this ribosomal RNA (216 nucleotides) under Triticum aestivum (bread wheat). Its description in RNAcentral is "partial small subunit ribosomal RNA". The record is from RNAcentral. Lineage: Eukaryota; Viridiplantae; Streptophyta; Magnoliopsida; Poales; Poaceae.